UACGGAGGGAGCUAGCGUUGUUCGGAAUUACUGGGCGUAAAGCGCACGUAGGCGGCUAUUCAAGUCAGGGGUGAAAGCCCGGGGCUCAACCCCGGAACUGCCUUUGAAACUAGGUAGCUAGAAUCUUGGAGAGGUCAGUGGAAUUCCGAGUGUAGAGGUGAAAUUCGUAGAUAUUCGGAAGAACACCAGUGGCGAAGGCGACUGACUGGACAAGUAUUGACGCUGAGGUGCGAAAGCGUGGGGAGCAAACAGG
This 253-nucleotide ribosomal RNA is filed under the name uncultured bacterium. RNAcentral's name for it is "partial 16S ribosomal RNA". It matches the Rfam family "Bacterial small subunit ribosomal RNA", at positions 524 to 776 of the family's 1533-position model. The record is from RNAcentral.